RNAcentral lists this ribosomal RNA (253 nucleotides) under uncultured bacterium. Its description in RNAcentral is "partial 16S ribosomal RNA". It matches the Rfam family "Bacterial small subunit ribosomal RNA", at positions 524 to 776 of the family's 1533-position model. The record is from RNAcentral.
UACGAAGGGGGCUAGCGUUGUUCGGAAUCAUUGGGCGUAAAGGGUGCGUAGGUGGCGCUGUAAGUCGGGUGUGAAAUUUCGGAGCUUAACUCCGAAACUGCAUUCGAUACUGCGGUGCUUGAGGACUGGAGAGGAGACUGGAAUUUAUGGUGUAGCAGUGAAAUGCGUAGAGAUCAUAAGGAAGACCAGUGGCGAAGGCGGGUCUCUGGACAGUUCCUGACACUGAGGCACGAAGGCCAGGGGAGCAAACGGG